RNAcentral lists this ribosomal RNA (440 nucleotides) under uncultured bacterium. RNAcentral describes it as "partial 16S ribosomal RNA". It matches the Rfam family "Bacterial small subunit ribosomal RNA", at positions 338 to 795 of the family's 1533-position model. The record is from RNAcentral.
CCUACGGGUGGCAGCAGUGGGGAAUAUUGGACAAUGGGGGAAACCCUGAUCCAGCGACGCCGCGUGAGUGAAGAAGUAUUUCGGUACGUAAAGCUCUAUCAGCAGGAAAGAAAAUGACGGUACCUGACUAAGAAGCCCCGGCUAACUACGUGCCAGCAGCCGCGGCAAUACGUAGGGGGCAAGCGUUAUCCGGAUUUACUGGGUGUAAAGGGAGCGUAGACGGCAUCGAAAGUCUGGAGUGAAAUGCCGGGGCUCAACCCCGAAACUGCUCUGGAAACUGUGAAGCUGGAGUGCAGGAGAGGUAAGCGGAAUUCCUGGUGUAGCGGUGAAAUGCGUAGAUAUCAGGAGGAACACCGACGGCGAAGGCGGCUUACUGGACUGUAACUGACGUUGAGGCUCGAAGGCGUGGGGAGCAAACAGGAUUAGAUACCCUGGUAGUC